Molecule: ribosomal RNA, 501 nt
Filed under: Ectobacillus panaciterrae
Lineage: Bacteria; Bacillati; Bacillota; Bacilli; Caryophanales; Bacillaceae
Description: bacterial SSU rRNA
Rfam family: Bacterial small subunit ribosomal RNA
Source: RNAcentral
CUGACCGAGCACGCCGCGUGAGUGAUGAAGGCUUUCGGGUCGUAAAACUCUGUUGUUAGGGAAGAACAAGUACGAGAGUAACUGCUCGUACCUUGACGGUACCUAACCAGAAAGCCACGGCUAACUACGUGCCAGCAGCCGCGGUAAUACGUAGGUGGCGAGCGUUAUCCGGAAUUAUUGGGCGUAAAGCGCGCGCAGGCGGUUCCUUAAGUCUGAUGUGAAAGCCCACGGCUCAACCGUGGAGGGUCAUUGGAAACUGGGGAACUUGAGUGCAGAAGAGAAGAGCGGAAUUCCACGUGUAGCGGUGAAAUGCGUAGAGAUGUGGAGGAACACCAGUGGCGAAGGCGGCUCUUUGGUCUGUAACUGACGCUGAGGCGCGAAAGCGUGGGGAGCAAACAGGAUUAGAUACCCUGGUAGUCCACGCCGUAAACGAUGAGUGCUAAGUGUUAGAGGGUUUCCGCCCUUUAGUGCUGAAGUUAACGCAUUAAGCACUCCGCCUGG